GAGUUUGAUCCUGGCUCAGGAUGAACGCUAGCGGCAGGCCUAAUACAUGCAAGUCGAACGAGACGUUUUUCUUCGGAGAAACUGAAAGUGGCGCACGGGUGCGUAACGCGUAUGCAACCUACCCUUAACAGGGGGAUAGCCCAGAGAAAUUUGGAUUAAUACCCCAUAGUAUUACAAGAUGGCAUCUGAAAGUAAUUAAAGAUUUAUCGGUUAAGGAUGGGCAUGCGUGACAUUAGAUAGUUGGUGAGGUAACGGCUCACCAAGUCAACGAUGUCUAGGGGUUCUGAGAGAAUGAUCCCCCACACUGGUACUGAGAUACGGACCAGACUCCUACGGGAGGCAGCAGUAGGGAAUAUUGCACAAUGGAGGAAACUCUGAUGCAGCGAUGCCGCGUGAGUGAAGAAGGCCUUUGGGUUGUAAAGCUCUUUCGUCGGGGAAGAAAAUGACGGUACCCGAAUAAGAAGGUCCGGCUAACUUCGUGCCAGCAGCCGCGGUAAUACGAAGGGACCUAGCGUAGUUCGGAAUUACUGGGCUUAAAGAGUUCGUAGGUGGUUAAAAAAGUUGGUUGUGAAAUCCCGAAGCUUAACUUCGGAACUGCAAUCAAAACUUUUUAGCUAGAGUAUGAUAGAGGAAAGCAGAAUUUCUAGUGUAGAGGUGAAAUUCGUAGAUAUUAGAAAGAAUACCAAUUGCGAAGGCAGCUUUCUGGAUCAUUACUGACACUGAGGAACGAAAGCAUGGGUAGCGAAGAGGAUUAGAUACCCUCGUAGUCCAUGCCGUAAACGAUGUGU
Molecule: ribosomal RNA, 788 nt
Filed under: uncultured bacterium
Lineage: Bacteria
Description: bacterial SSU rRNA
Rfam family: Bacterial small subunit ribosomal RNA
Source: RNAcentral